AGUGAACGCUGGCGGUAGGCCUAACACAUGCAAGUCGAACGGCAGCACAGUAAGAGCUUGCUCUUACGGGUGGCGAGUGGCGGACGGGUGAGGAAUACAUCGGAAUCUACUUUUUCGUGGGGGAUAACGUAGGGAAACUUACGAUAAUACCGCAUACGACCUACGGGUGAAAGCAGGGGAUCUUCGGACCUUGCGCGAUUGAAUGAGCCGCUGUCGUAUUAGCUAGUUGGCGGGGUAAAGGCCCACCAAGGCGACGAUCCGUAGCUGGUCUGAGAGGAUGAUCAGCCACACUGGAACGUGGACACCGUCCAGACUCCUACGGGAGGCAGCAGUGGGGAAUAUUGGACAAUGGGCGCAAGCCUUAUCCAGCCAUACCGCGUGGGUGAAGAAGGCCUUCGGGUUGUAAAGCCCUUUUUUUGGUAAAGAAAAGCAGCAGGUUAAUACCCCGCUGUUCUGACGGUACCCAAUGAAGAAGCACCGGCUAACUUCGUG
RNAcentral lists this ribosomal RNA (492 nucleotides) under uncultured bacterium. Its description in RNAcentral is "partial 16S ribosomal RNA". It matches the Rfam family "Bacterial small subunit ribosomal RNA", at positions 29 to 507 of the family's 1533-position model. The record is from RNAcentral.